Molecule: long non-coding RNA, 137 nt
Organism: Sander lucioperca (pikeperch)
Lineage: Eukaryota; Metazoa; Chordata; Actinopteri; Perciformes; Percidae
Exons: 3
Source: RefSeq, a predicted model, not a curated record
CAACAACGGCAGCACGCUGUCGCUAGCUUAGCUUAGCGUAGUACAUGGAAUCCUAUGUUGCCGGUUAGCAUGUCGUGAGUAAAAGUGACCCAACAACAACAAAAACAAAACCUAAUUACUUCUUUGCACUAUAACAA